UAACUAUCAUAUUGUCAUACUUAUUUAUACUGCGAAUUGGCGCAGUGUCUCUACAAGACACCUUAAUGUCUAACAAUAAGUAAGCUUUUAAGCUUG
Molecule: non-coding RNA, 96 nt
Filed under: Streptococcus ictaluri
Lineage: Bacteria; Bacillati; Bacillota; Bacilli; Lactobacillales; Streptococcaceae
Also listed under: 1 other name
Description: Guanine sequence
Rfam family: Purine riboswitch aptamer
About the family: Riboswitches are metabolite binding domains within certain messenger RNAs that serve as precision sensors for their corresponding targets.
Source: RNAcentral